RNAcentral lists this long non-coding RNA (1398 nucleotides) under Triticum aestivum (bread wheat). Its description in RNAcentral is "long non-coding RNA (TAES_LNC012452)". The record is from RNAcentral. Lineage: Eukaryota; Viridiplantae; Streptophyta; Magnoliopsida; Poales; Poaceae.
AUGAUUAUCUUUUAGUCUGUUAGAAUUAUAUAUUGGAAGAGAGGAUCAAGGAUAACCACCAGGUAUAGCAUUUGGUUGGAUUGAUGUUUCGUCCGCACUGCCACUUCAUUAUUUCCUGUACAGUCCACCUUCACACUCUUGUAAGCUCAACCAAAGAUUUCUGACUAAGUUCUCAUGAUUUAUCAAUAUACAAAAUAUUAAAUUUUGUAGUGUAAAUAAUUGUGUUUCUUUUGUAUGGGUCACCAGGGAUAGGAAACAGAAAGCCACCAGUGGUGAACAACAAGUGCAGAUUUCUAGUCCUUCAGGUGAUUGAUCAUUGUGGUAAUUCAUUCUUUUUUCAGAAUUUGAUUGCAAUUGGGUUGGAGGGAAGCAACAAAAUUCCUAUCCUGUAAUAUGCAUUUUUGGUGUGUGCCUUGACAGUUGUUCAGGUCGAUACAGAAUUUCAUUCAUGUGGUUUUUUAAGGCACUCAAUUUAACAUUGUUUUUAUUUUUGUCUAAGAGUUGGAUUGCCGUUAAGAUUUGAGACUGAUAUAUGUAGGGGCCUACAAGAUCCAAUUCAUGUUAGUUACCUACUCAGUGCUUACCUAUAAAUCUGUACCUCGGUGCAUCUUUCAUAAAAUGUUAAUUCUGUAAUUUAUAGAAGUGAACAAAUUCCUUAAAGUAGUUCUUACAUGUGCUAUAGACGAUUCAUCAUUGAUGAAAGGUGAAAGGAACAUAGCUGGGAAAUUGAUUUGGGCAUUUAUUGUCGAGAUAGCUAGGUAAUGAAACUGUAGCUGUACAUGAGAGCAGUUGUUCUAUAAGAUAUUGAGAGCUUUACUUUGGGUGCUCAAGUGCAACAAUUACUUCUUCCUGAAGGAUCUUGUUUCUGUCUUUGAUGGGUCUCUACACAUAUGCUUGCAGCAUAUACAAGCUAUUAUUGAUUUUUUUUAGUUUUUAAUGGUCAAAAAUCAUGUUGUUCCUGUUUGCUCUUUAUUAAAAUCUUCCCGGGAUUUAAUUCAGAAAGAAUGAUGCUCCGGACGAUUUAGGUCGUGCUUAGAUAAUAGCAACAAGCAAUGGCGACAAACUUCACCUAAAUGGCCAGUUAGAUAAAUGCUCCUGUACUCACACAUCUCUUACGCCAUUUAGAUUCAUACACACUUUGUAUCAGCAUCACCUGGAAACACGUUUAUGCUGUCACACAUCUGUUGGCAUCUAGCUUUCAUUUCUUUUUGAAUUUUGCUCAGAUUGGAGAUGGGAGAGAGAGCAAGGCUCGGUACUUCUUUACUAACUGUUGAUGCUGCCCUUCGAAGAAGGGAGAGAUACAACAAACGCUUCAGAGUGUUCUAAUGUGCUCAUCAUGUGAUUUUAUUUGAUUAUCUAAUUUAUUCUCGAGACUUUAAAUGGAGUCAAAUCCGCCAG